RNAcentral lists this ribosomal RNA (375 nucleotides) under Providencia rettgeri. RNAcentral describes it as "bacterial SSU rRNA". It matches the Rfam family "Bacterial small subunit ribosomal RNA", at positions 1150 to 1524 of the family's 1533-position model. Lineage: Bacteria; Pseudomonadati; Pseudomonadota; Gammaproteobacteria; Enterobacterales; Morganellaceae. The record is from RNAcentral.
UGCCGGUGAUAAACCGGAGGAAGGUGGGGAUGACGUCAAGUCAUCAUGGCCCUUACGAGUAGGGCUACACACGUGCUACAAUGGCGUAUACAAAGAGAAGCGACCUCGCGAGAGCAAGCGGAACUCAUAAAGUACGUCGUAGUCCGGAUUGGAGUCUGCAACUCGACUCCAUGAAGUCGGAAUCGCUAGUAAUCGUAGAUCAGAAUGCUACGGUGAAUACGUUCCCGGGCCUUGUACACACCGCCCGUCACACCAUGGGAGUGGGUUGCAAAAGAAGUAGGUAGCUUAACCUUCGGGAGGGCGCUUACCACUUUGUGAUUCAUGACUGGGGUGAAGUCGUAACAAGGUAACCGUAGGGGAACCUGCGGUUGGAUC